GUCUACGUAAUUUAUUUAAAAUACCGGUCUUGUAAAUCGAAUAUAGGGAUUCCCUCUUAGACU
This 63-nucleotide transfer RNA is filed under the name Eochionelasmus ohtai. RNAcentral describes it as "tRNA-Thr". The record is from RNAcentral. Lineage: Eukaryota; Metazoa; Arthropoda; Thecostraca; Balanomorpha; Pachylasmatidae.